Molecule: long non-coding RNA, 1583 nt
Filed under: Homo sapiens (human)
Lineage: Eukaryota; Metazoa; Chordata; Mammalia; Primates; Hominidae
Description: HSALNT0375236
Source: RNAcentral
UGGGCAGUGUGGGAUGGAGACAUCCUGACUGUGGACCGCGAUGGCGAUGGCCGGGGCCUCACACACAGAACAGCGGCUGAUACUCCACUGGCAUUUUGGAACAGCUCUGUUCUUCUACAAGUUCUCACACAUACUGGGCCAAGUUGGAUCACCAGGGAGUGGCGUCUUCAUGGAAUAGCAUUUUGGGUGCACUGCUCAGUGGCAUUCAAUAUAUUCACCUUCACCGCCGACCAGCUCCAGAACUUUCUCAUCCUAAACUGAAAUCUGUCCCCGUUAUACACGCACUCCCCGUGUCCCUCUCCCCCCAACCCUCAGCAACAGCCAUUGUACUUUCUGUUUCUAUGAAUUUGAUGACUUCAGGGGCCUCGUAUGUGUGGAAUCACAGAAUCCGACCUUUUGUGACUGGCUUCUUUCACUCAGCAGAAUGCCCUCAAGGGUCAUCUAGGUGGUAGCAGGUGAUAAGAGUUCCUUCUUUUUAAGACCGAAUAAAGGCUGGGCAAGGUGGCUUACACCUGUCGUCUCAGCACUUUGGGAAGCCGAGGUGGGAGGAUUGCUUGAGGUCAAGAGUUUGAGACCAGCCUGGCCAACAUGGUGAAACCCUGUCUCUACUAAAAAUACAAAAAUCAUCUGGGCUUGGUGGUGGACACCUGUAAUCCCAGCUACUCAGGAGGCUGAGGCACAAAAAUUCCUUGAACCCGGGAGGCGGAGAUUGCAGCGAGCUAAGAUCGUGCCACUGCACUCCAGCCUGGGCGACAGAGCAAGGCUGUCUCAAAAAACAAAAAACAAGAAAACAACCCAACAAAAAAGACGGACUCCUCUUGUACUGGGUGGAUACUGACUGCAUUUUGCUUCUUAAUUCCUCUGUUGAUGGACACUCGGGUUGCUUUCAGCACUCGGUGCUUGUGAGUAGUGCUGCUGUGAACCUUGACGCACAAACACUUGUUUGACGGGUGACUUCAUCUUUACGCCAUCUCUUUCCAAUAUUCAGCUCGUUCGUGAUUAGGAAGUGCAAAUUAAAUUUAAUACUUGUCUAAACACAAUACAGUGAGGAAGAAGAAAGCCGUUCAUACUGCACAUUUCUGAGCCCCCUGCAGUUUGAAUAUCUGCUAUUACAGCAAGUAAAUGACAUGGCCUGUGUCUCAGCUUCCCAGGGACCAGGUCGUGCAGGUGAUGGAAAUGACACAGGAGGAGCCAUCAUGGCUCCUGCCUCUUUGACCGGAGUCUGGGCACAGCGUGGAAAUGAACGUCUGUUCUCCCCCUACAUUAAGCGGGCCAUUGCCAGCUCCUGCCCCUAGAGAUGUCGAAGCACAGAUGUAUAAGUCCUGCUUACCUUUCAGGCCAAAUAUCCCUGGCGCCCCUUUGUCACCAGGCAGUCCAAUCCGCCCCAGCUCUCCCUGCGACCCUGGAGGCCCAGUCAGCCCUGGAAAGCCUGGGGGUGAACACAGCAUUAAGUCUGAGCACACAGGACACCUUGGGCGCUGUGUGGUGAGGUCCUGGCAGGAGGGGCAGCCGCUCUGGGAGGGGCCGAGGGCCGGAAGGGCCGCAGUGCCAGUUGGAGGAGAGAUUAGAACUGUCCCUCAAGC